This 361-nucleotide unclassified non-coding RNA is filed under the name soil metagenome. RNAcentral's name for it is "partial contains 5.8S ribosomal RNA, internal transcribed spacer 2, and large subunit ribosomal RNA". The stretch from base 1 to 120 matches the Rfam family "5.8S ribosomal RNA", at positions 35 to 154 of the family's 154-position model. The record is from RNAcentral.
GAUGAAGAACGCAGCGAAAUGCGAUAAGUAAUGUGAAUUGCAGAAUUUAGUGAAUCAUCGAAUCUUUGAACGCAUAUUGCGCCCGCCAGCACUCUGGCGGGCAUGCCUGUUCGAGCGUCAUUUCAACCCUCAGGCCUCGCGUCUGGCGUUGGGGCGCUGCGGCCCUCCCGCAGGCCCCCAAAUUUAGCGGCGGAUUCCCCGCGGCCCUGAGCGCAGUAGAGAGUAAAAACUUUAACGCUCCGGCGGCCGUGGCGCGGUUCUGCCUCUUUCCCAAUAGCGCCAAUAGCGCCACCCCCAAAAAAGUUGACCUCGGAUCAGGUAGGACUACCCGCUGAACUUAAGCAUAUCAAUAAUCGGAGGA